Molecule: non-coding RNA, 71 nt
Organism: Elusimicrobia bacterium GWD2_63_28
Lineage: Bacteria; Pseudomonadati; Elusimicrobiota
Source: Rfam
AUUCCUUGUAAUUUGGGGGAUUGGCCCCAGAGUAUCCACGAUCCGGCCGUAACCGGAUGUAUCCAGGGAAA